GAUGAAGCCGAGCACGGCUGUUUCUAAAGUGCUUUUUACUGGGACGGAUACCUCCUCCUCCUGCCUGAGGUGAGAGACCUCCUCCUGCAUGAGGUGAGAGACCUCCUCCUGCCUGAGGUGAGAGACCUCCUCCUGCCUGAGGUGAGAGACCUCCUCCUGCCUGAGGUGAGAGACCUCCUCCUGCAUGAGUGAAACAAGUACGGGACGUCAGUCAGCUGCUCAGUGACCACCUGCUCCAGGGUCCCACGGUCCGUGCUCUCAGGCCUGGUUCUGGUUCUACUGGGCCUUCCUUCCCUCCAGCGGGUCCAGCACUACGUCCUUGGUCUCCAGUGUGGAGAAGCUCUGCUCCUGGAGAAGGAGG
Molecule: long non-coding RNA, 361 nt
Organism: Gasterosteus aculeatus aculeatus (three-spined stickleback)
Lineage: Eukaryota; Metazoa; Chordata; Actinopteri; Perciformes; Gasterosteidae
Source: Ensembl